This is a transfer RNA of Camelus ferus (Wild Bactrian camel), 72 nucleotides long. It matches the Rfam family "tRNA". From Rfam's summary of the family: Transfer RNA (tRNA) molecules are approximately 80 nucleotides in length. The record is from Rfam. NCBI's taxonomy places the organism in Eukaryota, Metazoa, Chordata, Mammalia, Artiodactyla, Camelidae.
GAGGGUAUAGCUCAGUGGUAGAGCACAUGUUUAGCAUGUAUGAGGCUCUGGGUUCAAUUCUCAGUACCUCUA